CUCCCGCACGAACACAGCCCCACUCCACCUCCACCUUCUUCCGCGCUCCCCGCCCCCCGGGUCCCAGCCUCCUUCCCCCGACCUCCUUCCUUGCGCGUCGCCGCCGCGCUGCCGUGACCCUGCCGCCGCAGCACCCCACCCACCAUUACCUGCCGCCGCCCACCACCACCUACCGGGAUCUGGCCGGCAACCACGGGAUCGAUCCCGACCACCACGGAUUCCCACCACACCACCACCUCCACCUCCACCUCCCGUCCCGCACACCCCAAAAUCCCGGCCACUGCCGCCUCGCCUCCUCCUCCUCCUGCCCGGCGCGGCCCUCCUCCCACCUGGCGCCGCCCCGCCUCCUCCUCCCGCCCGGUGCAGCCCCGCCUCAUCCUCCUCCCGCCUGGCGCGGCCUCCUUCCACCUGGCGCCGCCUCGUCUCCUCCUCCCGGCCGGCGCGCCUCCGUCCCGCAGCGCCGCCCUGGCGAUGGCCCCGGCCCCGCCCCACUCCAGCCACGGCAGUUUUUUCUACUACUGUGAGUGUGUGUGCAGUCCACCGGCCCCCUCCUCUGCUUCAGAUCCCGUGCAACCUUCCGAUGCAGUUCGUCGCACCAACCCCCUGCAGCUCUCUCCUCCCCAAUCCAUGGACCCCGCGCCGGAUCCGGGUUCUUCCCUCGUGCAUCGUCCUCUUCUCGCACCGAUCCCCGCCAUGGUCGCGCGGAUCCCCGAGAGUUCGAGGUGUGCCACCCCCGCCGUGGUCCUGCCUACUUCCCCUCCUUCCCUGCUACACCAGCAGGGCGUCGGUCACAGGAUCUGCCUCCCCCUAUUUGCAGCUCCUUUGUUUCUUUUUUGCAGCUCGCUAAGUAUAAUUUUGAAGUUCAGUGAGAUCCAUGCGCGCCGGAUCACGCGUUGCCGACCCCCCUGCAUGCCUCCUCGCAUGCGAGGUGCUGUGCUGUGUAGGGAGGUGUCUACACCAGCGUCGGCGCCCGUCCACCAUGAUUUGAGGAGUUUGUAUGUCACCUUUGCUCACCAGUAGUUCUGCAGAUUAACUUUACUGUCUGUCCACACCACUGGGUUGGGUUAGUUUCUCUGCAACCUGAGUAUCUUGUAAGAAGAAUGCAGAAAGGGGAACAACUAGUGCCUCGGCGAUGGUGAACUAGCACAUAAAGCUUAUUUAGAUUUUUGAGCAUACAACCAUGUUCCGUUUAUUCCAUUUUUGUGCUUUCCUUUUAAACUGUUAUGAUGUUUUGGUUCAAGUUUAACACAUGCUAGAGUGCACGCAUGUUCUUUUGUAAGGAACUAAAACUUAUGCAUGUGAUACAUACAAGAAGGAAGAUGGAAAUGGGACUUUUAAGGUUUGCGUAUGAAGGGAAAUUUAGUUUUCUGUAGAUUUACCUCAGUUACAUUAAAUGUUCUUUUAACAAUUGGCAAAGUCCUGAUGCUGUUAUGUAUCUACUUCUCUCUUCUGUAGUUGUUGCAUUUAAUUGCUUGUCCAGCUCUCUUAUGUCCCCGUCAUCGCCCACAUCGGAGGCUCUGCCAUCGCUGGAUCCCGGCAUCCCCGGGCCCUGCAGGAGGGAUACCGACAUCAACGUCCCCUUCCCUGACCAUCUAGAAGGAGGUGGUCGUCCCUGUCUGUCGCUGCAGUCCGCACGGUGGGCGUCCGCAGCACAUCGCCGACAAAGGUGGAUCCAAGGGGCACCCGUGCAGUCCACUGCGUGGGUGCACGCAGCAUGCCGGCACUCCCCUUUGCAGUCCAUAAUGUGGGUUCAGCCCAUAGCGGCAUGCAGCUCUGCCCAUGGGCAUAUGAAGUACGCUAUGACGAGCAUGUAUACAUGGUUUCGGGAGCAAAACAUCAGCGUGCGAUUCAGUGUUUUUUUGCUGCAGUUCACUACUCAUUCGUACCACUUUACUCUUUUUUUAAUGGGAAUCUUCGGUGCAAUGAAUUAUUCUAUCCGCUAUUUUUGAUGUUCAGUUUACUAGUUUUUGCAGGAGAUGGCGGACAAAAAAAGAGGGAGAAAUGAGUCUCAAGCACAUACUGCGUGAGCACCUCGGUUAGCCGGCGAUCUGCAGUAUGUUGAAUGGUAUCACUCCAGUUCACAUCGCCCCAUGGCCGACUCCGGCGGCCUGCUUUGGUCGCCUUCUUGCUGCAGUUUUGCUAUUGCACGACAUACGAUUCAAUAGCGCCAGUAGGGUCGCGUGGGGAGGACUACACCUUCAGGAGGUGGUGUUUGCGAACAAUCCAGAGGCCCAAUUCAUUUUUGAAAAAUUUGUUUGAGACUUGUUAUGUAAACUGCAGAAGCUUGUUUGUAAAAUAGUUACCCUAAUGUAGUUCGUUGUAAAUCCUAAAGAGGCUCAUUUUGUGGGCAAGUAAGACAAAAAAAUCCACGAGAGGUUCACUUCUUUUCCA
This is a long non-coding RNA of Triticum aestivum (bread wheat), 2391 nucleotides long. RefSeq lists it as uncharacterized. The transcript has 2 exons. NCBI's taxonomy places the organism in Eukaryota, Viridiplantae, Streptophyta, Magnoliopsida, Poales, Poaceae. The record is from RefSeq and is a predicted model, not a curated record.